Molecule: long non-coding RNA, 700 nt
Filed under: Nicotiana benthamiana
Lineage: Eukaryota; Viridiplantae; Streptophyta; Magnoliopsida; Solanales; Solanaceae
Description: long non-coding RNA (NBEN_LNC027633)
Source: RNAcentral
GCCAACUAUGUCUGCAGUAGUCAGAAUUCUUGAAGAUCAUCUUGACCUUCCUUGUAGCUUUGGUAUGUACCGAUCCGUCUCCAGCACUUAGGCCAACUAUGUCUGCAGUAGUCAGAAUUCUUGAAGAUCAUCUUGACCUUCCUGAGUUUAACUUGGAAUCAAGAUUCUAUGAUGAUUUUGAUGAUCAUCUCAACUUUCAAGGGUUAAGGGACAAGUAUGGCGAGAUGCUCAGCUCGAGCCAAAGUCAACCCAUCACACAUUCAUCCAAUAUUACAGGAAGAGAAAGUUCUUCCUCUUCAUCAGCUUAAAUUUGCAGUCAGAUCAAGAUAGUGAAAAAAAAGGUAGCACAUUAUGUUGGGACUGUUAACAAAAACUGAUCCAUAAUUUUAAGAUUAUGAGUUCUGAACCACAACCCUUUUUGCUCUCUUGGUUCUGGAUAAUUUCUUAACACGAAUACAAGGUCUAUAGUCUAUACCAAAGCUAUCGGUAAAUUAAGUGUAGAUCCGCCCCAGGUACUAUAUAUGUGGGGUUGUUGUUUCCUUACUGAUAGAAUGUACCGUACUCCCUUAAAAUCACAAAAUAAGUGAUUUUUGGGCCUUUUUCUUGUGGACCAAAAUAAGUGAUUUUUUCAGAUUUCAAGAAUAAAUUAAUUAUUUUUUUCCUACAUUGUCUUGGAGUAAAUAGUGUUGGAAUAUGUGUG